RNAcentral lists this ribosomal RNA (484 nucleotides) under uncultured bacterium. RNAcentral describes it as "partial 16S ribosomal RNA". It matches the Rfam family "Bacterial small subunit ribosomal RNA", at positions 30 to 507 of the family's 1533-position model. The record is from RNAcentral.
AUUGAACGCUGGCGGCAGGCCUAACACAUGCAAGUCGAGCGGAUGAAGGGAGCUUGCUCCUGGAUUCAGCGGCGGACGGGUGAGUAAUGCAUAGGAAUCUGCCUGGUAGUGGGGGAUAACGUCCGGAAACGGGCGCUAAUACCGCAUACGUCCUGAGGGAGAAAGUGGGGGAUCUUCGGACCUCACGCUAUCAGAUGAGCCUAGGUCGGAUUAGCUAGUUGGUGGGGUAAAGGCCUACCAAGGCGACGAUCCGUAACUGGUCUGAGAGGAUGAUCAGUCACACUGGAACUGAGACACGGUCCAGACUCCUACGGGAGGCAGCAGUGGGGAAUAUUGGACAAUGGGCGAAAGCCUGAUCCAGCCAUGCCGCGUGUGUGAAGAAGGUCUUCGGAUUGUAAAACACUGUAAGUUGGGAGGAAGGGCAGUAAGUUAAUACCUUGCUGUUUUGACGUUACCAACAGAAUAAGCACCGGCUAACUUCGUG